AGGAAGAUUGGUUUAUAGUUGGGAUAUCAAUUUUGAUGAGUAUGAGUACCCAUCCAACGAAUUUUAGAAUCGGUUUGAAAUGACUUUUCAACGUUUGGGAGACAAGGGCAGCAAUUGAUUGUGAUGGAGUGGGGACCUAUUUCAUGAUGGAAUGGCUCGGGAGAUGCCGAUGCUGAGGCCGAGGUCGAAGUCGAAGAAGAUUCCUAAGAUGAAUGACAUAGAAUUUACCUGAAAAGCAUCACCAAUCAAGACGUAGAACGCAGACGGGUCGGGACAUACAGGUGUCCACAACCCGUCGUGC
This is a long non-coding RNA of Cucurbita moschata (crookneck pumpkin), 301 nucleotides long. RefSeq lists it as uncharacterized. NCBI's taxonomy places the organism in Eukaryota, Viridiplantae, Streptophyta, Magnoliopsida, Cucurbitales, Cucurbitaceae. The record is from RefSeq and is a predicted model, not a curated record. The transcript is spliced from 3 exons.